Molecule: ribosomal RNA, 504 nt
Filed under: uncultured bacterium
Lineage: Bacteria
Description: bacterial SSU rRNA
Rfam family: Bacterial small subunit ribosomal RNA
Source: RNAcentral
UGAGUAAUGUCUGGGAAACUGCCCGAUGGAGGGGGAUAACUACUGGAAACGGUAGCUAAUACCGCAUAACGUCUUCGGACCAAAGUGGGGGACCUUCGGGCCUCACACCAUCGGAUGUGCCCAGAUGGGAUUAGCUAGUAGGUGGGGUAAUGGCUCACCUAGGCGACGAUCCCUAGCUGGUCUGAGAGGAUGACCAGCCACACUGGAACUGAGACACGGUCCAGACUCCUACGGGAGGCAGCAGUGGGGAAUAUUGCACAAUGGGCGCAAGCCUGAUGCAGCCAUGCCGCGUGUAUGAAGAAGGCCUUCGGGUUGUAAAGUACUUUCAGUGGGGAGGAAGGCGUUAAGGUUAAUAACCUUGGCGAUUGACGUUACCCGCAGAAGAAGCACCGGCUAACUCCGUGCCAGCAGCCGCGGUAAUACGGAGGGUGCAAGCGUUAAUCGGAAUUACUGGGCGUAAAGCGCACGCAGGCGGUCUGUCAAGUCGGAUGUGAAAUCCCCGGG